RNAcentral lists this ribosomal RNA (554 nucleotides) under Candidatus Roizmanbacteria bacterium. RNAcentral's name for it is "bacterial SSU rRNA". It matches the Rfam family "Bacterial small subunit ribosomal RNA", at positions 889 to 1358 of the family's 1533-position model. Lineage: Bacteria; Candidatus Roizmaniibacteriota. The record is from RNAcentral.
CAAGGCUAAAACUCAAAGGAAUUGACGGGGACCCGCACAACCUGUGGAGCGUGUGGUUCAAUUCGAGACAAAACGAAAAACCUCACCAGGACUUGACAUGUUAUCGUUUAUUCUGAUGGAAACAUCGGGAAAUCCGCAAGGAUGAUAGCACAGGUGCUGCAUGGCUGUCGUCAGCUCGUGCCGUGAGGUGUUCCCUUAAGUGGGGAAACGAGCGCAACCCCUAUUCAAUGUUAAAUAUUCAUUGGAGACAGCCCCGUCCUUUUGCUAAAGAAGGUCUUUGGAAUUUCCAAAGUGCAAGCCGUAAGGCGCCUUCGGCUUUCAGAUACGAAAGUUAGAAGUGAUCGUUGGCAAAAGGACGGGGAGGAAGGAGGGGAAGACGUCAAGUCAGCACGGCCCUUAUGUCCUGGGCUACACACACACUACAAUGGCGAAAAACAAUGGGCUGCAAGCCGGUAACGGCAAGCUAAUCCCUGAAAUUUCGUCUCAGUUCAGAUUGUGGGCUGAAACCCGCCCGCAUGAAGUUGGAAUAGGUAGUAAUCGCGGAUCAGCAUGCC